UACGAGGGGGGCAAGCGUUGUUCGGAAUUAUUGGGCGUAAAGGGCGCGUAGGCGGUGCGGUAAGUCACCUGUGAAAACUCUGGGCUCAACUCAGAGCCUGCAGGCGAAACUGCCGUGCUUGAGUGUGGGAGAGGUGCGUGGAAUUCCCGGUGUAGCGGUGAAAUGCGUAGAUAUUGGGAGGAACACCGGUGGCGAAGGCGGCCCCCUGGACCGGUACUGACGCUGAUGCGCGAAAGCGUGGGUAGCAAACGGG
RNAcentral lists this ribosomal RNA (253 nucleotides) under uncultured bacterium. RNAcentral's name for it is "partial 16S ribosomal RNA". It matches the Rfam family "Bacterial small subunit ribosomal RNA", at positions 524 to 776 of the family's 1533-position model. The record is from RNAcentral.